AAUGAACGUUGGCGGCGUGGAUUAGGCAUGCAAGUCGAGCGAGAACCCGCAAGGGGGACAGCGGCGAACGGGGUAGGAAUACGUAGGUAACGUACCCUCGGGGCGAGGACAGCCACGGGAAACUGUGGGUAAUACUCGAUAAACUUCCCAAUCAUUAUGGAAGGGGAAGCAAUGGGUGUGAUUCCACCUGAGGAGCGGCUUACGCAGUAUCAGCUAGUUGGUGAGGUAACGGCUCACCAAGGCUACGACGCUUAGGGGGUGUGAGAGCAUGGCCCCCACCACUGGCACUGGGACACUGGCCAGACACCUACGGGUGGCUGCAGUCGAGAAUCUUCGGCAAUGGACGCAAGUCUGACCGAGCGACGCCGCGUGUGGGAUGAAGGCCUUCGGGUUGUAAACCACUGUCAGAGGGGAUGAAGUGUACGAGAGUUAUCUCUUGUAUUUGACAGAGCCUCAGAGGAAGCACGGGCUAAGUUCGUGCCAGCAGCCGCGGUAAU
Molecule: ribosomal RNA, 497 nt
Filed under: uncultured bacterium
Lineage: Bacteria
Description: bacterial SSU rRNA
Rfam family: Bacterial small subunit ribosomal RNA
Source: RNAcentral